CAGGGAUUGCCUCAGUAACGGCGAGUGAAGCGGCAUAAGCUCAAAUUUGAAAUCUGGCCCCUUCGGGGUCCGAGUUGUAAUUUGUAGAGGAUGUUUCGGGUACGGCGGCGGUCUAAGUCCCUUGGAACGGGGUGUCACAGAGGGUGAGAAUCCCGUAUGCGACCGGCGACCAAGCCCAUGUGAAGCUCCUUCGACGAGUCGAGUUGUUUGGGAAUGCAGCUCAAAAUGGGAGGUAAAUUUCUUCUAAAGCUAAAUACCGGCCAGAGACCGAUAGCGCACAAGUAGAGUGAUCGAAAGAUGAAAAGCACUUUGGAAAGAGAGUCAAACAGUACGUGAAAUUGUUGAAAGGGAAGCGCUUGCAACCAGACCUGUCCGCGGGCGAUCAACCUCUGUUCUCAGGGGUGCACUCGUCCGCGAUCAGGCCAGCAUCGGUUCGGGCGGCCGGAUAAAGGCCUUGGGAAUGUAGCUCCUCUCGGGGAGUCUUAUAGCCCUCGGGUGCAAUGCGGUCAGCCCGGACCGAGGACCGCGCUUCGGCUAGGAUGCUGGCGUAAUGGUUGUAAGCGACCCGUCUUGAAACACGGNNCAAGGAGUCUAACAUCUAUGCGAGUGUUUGGGUGUCAAGCCCAUGCGCGUAAUGAAAGUGAACGGAGGUGAGAACCCGUACGGGCGCAUCAUCGACCGAUCCAGAUGUCUUCGGAUGGAUUUGAGUACGAGCAUAGCUGGUCUGACCCGAAAGAUGGUGAACUACACUUGAAUAGGGUGAAGCCAGAGGAAACUCUGGUGGAGGCUCGCAGCGGUUCUGACGUGCAAAUCGAUCGUCAAAUUUGAGUGUAGGGGCGAAAGACUAAUCGAACCAUCUAGUAGCUGGUUCCUGCCGAAGA
RNAcentral lists this ribosomal RNA (881 nucleotides) under Protoparmeliopsis achariana. RNAcentral's name for it is "LSU rRNA". It matches the Rfam family "Eukaryotic large subunit ribosomal RNA", at positions 69 to 967 of the family's 3401-position model. Lineage: Eukaryota; Fungi; Ascomycota; Lecanoromycetes; Lecanorales; Lecanoraceae. The record is from RNAcentral.